UGGGGAAUAUUGCACAAUGGGGGGAAACCCGUGAUGCAGCGACGCCGCGUGAGCGAAGAAGUAUUUCGGUAUGUAAAGCUCUAUCAGCAGGGAAGAAAAAAAUGACGGUACCUGAGUAAGAAGCACCGGCUAAAUACGUGCC
This 142-nucleotide ribosomal RNA is filed under the name uncultured bacterium. Its description in RNAcentral is "partial 16S ribosomal RNA". It matches the Rfam family "Bacterial small subunit ribosomal RNA", at positions 355 to 509 of the family's 1533-position model. The record is from RNAcentral.